RNAcentral lists this ribosomal RNA (119 nucleotides) under Pteropus alecto (black flying fox). The record is from RNAcentral. Lineage: Eukaryota; Metazoa; Chordata; Mammalia; Chiroptera; Pteropodidae.
AUCUAUGGCCAUGCCACCCUGAACAAGCCCGAUCCCAUCUGAUCUCAGAAACUAAGCAGGAUGGGGCCUGGUUAGUAUUUGGAUGGGAGACCACCUAGGAAGACCAGGUGCUAUAGGCA